GAGCUCGUAGGCGGUUUGUUGCGUCGGCUGUGAAAACCUGAGGCUCAACCUCAGGCCUGCAGUCGAUACGAGCAGACUAGAGUGUUGCAGGGGAGACUGGAAUUCCUGGUGUAGCGGUGAAAUGCGCAGAUAUCAGGAGGAACACCGGUGGCGAAGGCGGGUCUCUGGGCAACAACUGACGCCGAGGAGCGAAAGCGUGGGGAGCGAACAGGAUUAGAUACCCUGGUAGUCCACGCCGUAAACGUUGGGCGCUAGGUGUGGGGCUCAUUCCACGAGUUCCGUGCCGCAGCUAACGCAUUAAGCGCCCCGCCUGGGGAGUACGGCCGCAAGGCUAAAACUCAAAGGAAUUGACGGGGGCCCGCACAAGCGGCGGAGCAUGUUGCUUAAUUCGAUGCAACGCGAAGAACCUUACCUAGGCUUGACAUGCACGGAAAUCCUCCAGAGAUGGUGGGUCCGCAAGGGUCGUGCACAGGUGGUGCAUGGUUGUCGUCAGCUCGUGUCGUGAGAUGUUGGGUUAAGUCCCGCAACGAGCGCAACCCUCGUUCUAUGUUGCCAGCACGUAAUGGUGGGGACUCAUAGGAGACUGCCGGGGUCAACUCGGAGGAAGGUGGGGAUGACGUCAAAUCAUCAUGCCCCUUAUGUCUAGGGCUGCAAACAUGCUACAAUGGCCGGUACAAAGGGCUGCGAUACCGCGAGGUGGAGCGAAUCCCAAAAAGCCGGUCUCAGUUCGGAUUGGGGUCUGCAAUUCGACCCGAUGAAGUUGGAGUCGCUAGUAAUCGCAGAUCAGCAA
RNAcentral lists this ribosomal RNA (790 nucleotides) under uncultured bacterium. RNAcentral's name for it is "bacterial SSU rRNA". It matches the Rfam family "Bacterial small subunit ribosomal RNA", at positions 565 to 1355 of the family's 1533-position model. The record is from RNAcentral.